Long non-coding RNA from Rhinopithecus roxellana (golden snub-nosed monkey), 325 nucleotides. RefSeq lists it as uncharacterized. The transcript has 4 exons. The record is from RefSeq and is a predicted model, not a curated record. Lineage: Eukaryota; Metazoa; Chordata; Mammalia; Primates; Cercopithecidae.
UGGGGCGGGGCCAGAAGAGCGGGCUAAGUGGCCGGAGGAGGUGGCGGCGGCUGGGAGAGGCGAGAGGUCUGGCCGAUUUUAGCUUCGAAACUGGGAGAAAUAGGAAUGGCUGUAGAGGAACUUCAGUCUAUAAUAAAGAGAUGUCAAAUCCUAGAAGAGCAAGACUUUAAAGAAGAAGAUUUUGGCCUAUUUCAGUUAGCUGGGCAAAGAUGCAUAGAAGAAGGGCACAUAGACCAGCUAUUAGAAAUUAUUCAAAAUGAAAAGAACAAGGUCAUCAUCAAGAAUAUGGGCUGGAAUCUCAUUGGUCCUGUUGUUCGAUGCCUUU